RNAcentral lists this ribosomal RNA (498 nucleotides) under uncultured bacterium. RNAcentral describes it as "partial 16S ribosomal RNA". It matches the Rfam family "Bacterial small subunit ribosomal RNA", at positions 29 to 523 of the family's 1533-position model. The record is from RNAcentral.
AUUGAACGCUGGCGGCAUGCCUUACACAUGCAAGUCGAACGGUAACGGGCCUUCGGGUGCCGACGAGUGGCGAACGGGUGAGUAAUACAUCGGAACGUGCCCGAUCGUGGGGGAUAACGAGGCGAAAGCUUUGCUAAUACCGCAUACGAUCUACGGGUGAAAGCAGGGGACCGCAAGGCCUUGCGCGGACGGACCGGCCGAUGGCAGAUUAGGAAGUGGGUGGGAUAAAAGAUUACCAAGCCGACGAUCUGUGGCUGGUCUGAGAGGAUGAUCAGCGACCCUCGGACUGAGACACGGGCGAGACUCUGGCGGGGGGCAGCAGGGGGGAAGUGUGGAGAAGGGGCGCAAGCCUGAUCCAGCCAUGCCGCGUGCAGGAGGAAGGCCUUCGGGUUGUGAACUGCUGUUGGACGGAACGAAAAGCCUUCUUCUAAUACAGGAGGGUCAUGACGGUACGGUAAGAAUAAGCACCGGCUAACUACGUACCAGCAGCCGCCGUAA